CUAAACUGAGGAAAGUCGGCCGAAACUGAUCGACUCGAGGAACGUAGAGGGAAGCGGAACUCUCGGAGUAGCGGUGAAAUGCGUAGAGACCGAGAGGUACCCCGAUGGUGAAGACAGCUUCCUGGGCGUUUCCUGACGCUGAAGCGCUAAGGCCAGGGGAGCGAAGGGGAUUAGAUACCCCCGUAGUCCUGGCUUCAAACGAUGUGGGCUUGGUGUCGGCUCCCGACAGAGAGUCGUUGCCGGAGCUAACGUGUUAAGCCCACCGCCUGGGGAUUACGUCCGCAAGGAUGAAACUCAAGGGAAUUGACGGGGGCCCACACAACCGGUGGAGCACGUGGUUUAAUUCGAUGAUAAGCGAAGAACCUUACCAGGGCUUGACCUAGCGGUAGUAGGACCCUGAAAGGGGAACGACCUCAAGCUUUGCUUGAGGAGCC
RNAcentral lists this ribosomal RNA (434 nucleotides) under uncultured bacterium. Its description in RNAcentral is "bacterial SSU rRNA". It matches the Rfam family "Bacterial small subunit ribosomal RNA", at positions 608 to 1042 of the family's 1533-position model. The record is from RNAcentral.